GACGAACGCUGGCGGCGUGCCUAAUACAUGCAAGUAGAACGCUGAAGGAGGAGCUUGCUUCUCUGGAUGAGUUGCGCACGGGUGAGUAACACGUAGGUAACCUGCCUGGUAGCGGGGGGUAACUAUUGGAAACGAUAGCUAAUACCGCAUAAUAGCAGUUGUUGCAUGACAACUGUUUGAAAGUUGCACUUGCACCACUACCAGAUGGACCUGCGUUGUAUUAGCUAGGUGGUGGGGUAACGGCUCACCAAGGCGACGAUACAUCGGCGCCCUGGGGGGGGGGUCCGCCAAACCGGGACUGGGACCACGCCCAGACUGCUACGGGAGGGAGGAGUAGGGAAACUUUGGCAAUGGGCGGAAGGCUGACCGAGCAACGCCGCGUGAGGGAAGAAGGGUUUCGGAUCGUAAAGCUCUGUUGUAAGAGAAGAACGAGUGUGAGAGUGGAAAGUGCACACUGUGACGGUACCUAACCAGAAAGGGACGGCUAACUACGUG
RNAcentral lists this ribosomal RNA (495 nucleotides) under uncultured bacterium. RNAcentral describes it as "partial 16S ribosomal RNA". It matches the Rfam family "Bacterial small subunit ribosomal RNA", at positions 28 to 507 of the family's 1533-position model. The record is from RNAcentral.